Small nuclear RNA from Dunckerocampus dactyliophorus (ringed pipefish), 141 nucleotides. RefSeq annotates it as U4 spliceosomal RNA. NCBI's taxonomy places the organism in Eukaryota, Metazoa, Chordata, Actinopteri, Syngnathiformes, Syngnathidae. The record is from RefSeq and is a predicted model, not a curated record. The transcript has a single exon.
AGCUUUGCGCAGUGGCAGUAUUGUAGCCCAUGAGGUUUAUCCGAGGCGCGAUUAUUGCUAGUUGAAAACUUGACCCAAUACCCUGCCUUGACGACUUGAAAUAUAGUUGGCUAUGGCAAUUUUUCACAGUCUCUACGGAGA